UGGGGAAUUUUGGACAAUGGGCGCAAGCCUGAUCCAGCCAUGCCGCGUGCAGGAUGAAGGCCUUCGGGUUGUAAACUGCUUUUGUACGGAACGAAAAGACUCUGGUUAAUACCUGGGGUCCAUGACGGUACCGUAAGAAUAAGCACCGGCUAACUACGUGCCAGCAGCCGCGGUAAUACGUAGGGUGCGAGCGUUAAUCGGAAUUACUGGGCGUAAAGCGUGCGCAGGCGGUUAUAUAAGACAGAUGUGAAAUCCCCGGGCUCAACCUGGGAACUGCAUUUGUGACUGUAUAGCUAGAGUACGGCAGAGGGGGAUGGAAUUCCGCGUGUAGCAGUGAAAUGCGUAGAUAUGCGGAGGAACACCGAUGGCGAAGGCAAUCCCCUGGGCCUGUACUGACGCUCAUGCACGAAAGCGUGGGGAGCAAACAGGAUUAGAUACCCUCGUAGUCCCUGAGCGGGCUGGCAAGGCGCAU
Molecule: ribosomal RNA, 472 nt
Filed under: uncultured bacterium
Lineage: Bacteria
Description: bacterial SSU rRNA
Rfam family: Bacterial small subunit ribosomal RNA
Source: RNAcentral